RNAcentral lists this ribosomal RNA (508 nucleotides) under uncultured Glomeromycotina. Its description in RNAcentral is "partial small subunit ribosomal RNA". It matches the Rfam family "Eukaryotic small subunit ribosomal RNA", at positions 591 to 1092 of the family's 1831-position model. Lineage: Eukaryota; Fungi; Glomeromycota. The record is from RNAcentral.
CCAAUAGCGUAUAUUAAGGUUGCUGCGGUUAAAAAGCUCGUAGUUGAAUUUCGGGAUUGACACAUCGGUCGUUCCUUAAGGGGUAUGAACUGGCGUAGCCAAUUCCUCAUCUUCUGGUGAAUUGUGAUGCCUCUUUAACUGGGUGUUUCAAUGAACUAGGACUUUUACUUUGAAAAAAUUAGAGUGUUUAAAGCAGGCAUUAUUUGCUUGAAUACAUUAGCAUGGAAUAAUAAAAUAGAACGAUGAUUCUAUUUUGUUGGUUUCUAGGAUCACCGUAAUGAUUAAUAGGGAUAGUUGGGGGCAUUAGUAUUCAAUUGUCAGAGGUGAAAUUCUUGGAUUUAUUGAAGACUAACUACUGCGAAAGCAUUUGCCAAGGAUGUUUUCAUUAAUCAAGAACGAAAGUUAGGGGAUCGAAGACGAUCAGAUACCGUCGUAGUCUUAACCAUAAACUAUGCCGACUAGGAAUCAGACGAUGUUAAUUUUUUAAUGACUCGUUUGGCACCUUACG